AGGGCGCAUGGUGGAUGCCUUGGCACUAGGAGCCGAUGAAGGACGUGACUAACUGCGAUAAGCUUCGGGGAGUUGUAAGUAAACUGUGAUCCGGAGAUUUCCGAAUGGGGAAACCCAGCAGGAGUAAAGACCUGUUAUCACUGAGUGAAUACAUAGCUCAGUUGAAGGUAGACGUGGGGAACUGAAACAUCUAAGUACCCAUAGGAAGAGAAAGAAAAUUCGAUUCCCUGAGUAGCGGCGAGCGAAAAGGGAACAGCCCAAACCAGAGAGCUUGCUCUCUGGGGUUGUAGGACUGGACAUUUGAGUUACCAAGAAACGAAGUAGUUGAAUGAUUUGGGAAGAUCAGCCAGAGAAGGUGAUAGCCCUGUAAGCGAAACUUCGUUUCCUCAGCCCAGUAUCCUGAGUACGGCGGAACACGUGAAACUCCGUCGGAAUCCGGGAGGACCAUCUCCCAAGGCUAAAUACUCCCUAGUGACCGAUAGUGAACCAGUACCGUGAGGGAAAGGUGAAAAGCACCCCGGGAGGGGAGUGAAAUAGUUCCUGAAACCAUGUGCCUACAAGUAGUCAGAGCCCGUUAAUGGGUGAUGGCGUGCCUUUUGUAGAAUGAACCGGCGAGUUACGUUAGCGUGCGAGGUUAAGGCGCAAAGGCCGGAGCCGUAGCGAAAGCGAGUCUGAAUAGGGCGAAUGAGUACGUUGACGUAGACCCGAAACCAGGUGACCUACCCAUGUCCAGGUUGAAGGUGCGGUAAGACGCACUGGAGGACCGAACCCGUGUAUGUUGAAAAAUGCUGGGAUGAGGUGUGGGUAGAGGUGAAAUUCCAAACGAACUUGGAGAUAGCUGGUUCUCUCCGAAAUAGCUUUAGGGCUAGCCUCGGAGUUAAGGAUCGUGGAGGUAGAGCACUGUUUGGACUAGGGGCCCGUCUUGGGUUACUGAAUUCAGAUAAACUCCGAAUGCCACAGAUCUAUAUCCGGGAGUCAGACUGCGAGUGAUAAGAUCCGUAGUCGAAAGGGAAACAGCCCAGACCACCGAUUAAGGUCCCUAAAUAUGUGUUAAGUGGAAAAGGAUGUGGAAUUGCACAGACAACUAGGAUGUUGGCUUAGAAGCAGCCACCAUUUAAAGAGUGCGUAAUAGCUCACUAGUCGAGUGAUCCUGCGCCGAAAAUGUAACGGGGCUAAACACAUUACCGAAAUCGUGGAUGCAACUAUGUUGCAUGGUAGGAGAGCGUUCUAAGGGCGAUGAAGCUAGACCGUAAGGACUGGUGGAGCGCUUAGAAGUGAGAAUGCCGGUAUGAGUAGCGAAAGAUCAGUGAGAAUCUGGUCCACCGUAUGACUAAGGUUUCCUGGGGAAGGCUCGUCCUCCCAGGGUUAGUCGGGACCUAAGCCGAGGCCGAGAGGCGUAGGCGAUGGAUAACAGGUUGAGAUUCCUGUACUGGUUUGAUUUGUUUGAACGAUGGAGGGACGCAGGAGGCUAGAGAUGCGUGCUGUUGGAUAUGCACGUCCAAGCAACAAGUCUGAUGAUGAGUCAAAUGCUUAUCGUCUUAAGGACAAGUUGUGACGGGGAGCGAAAUUAAAGUAGCGAAGUGAUCGAUGUCACACUGCCGAGAAAAGCUUCUAGUUAGGAUCAGACCACCCGUACCGCAAACCGACACAGGUAGUCGAGGCGAGUAGCCUAAGGUGAGCGAGAGAACUCUCGUUAAGGAACUCGGCAAAAUGACCCCGUAACUUCGGGAGAAGGGGUGCUGCACAAUGUGCAGCCGCAGUGAAUAGGCCCAGGCGACUGUUUAUCAAAAACACAGGUUUCUGCAAAAUCGUAAGAUGAAGUAUAGGGGCUGACGCCUGCCCGGUGCUGGAAGGUUAAGAGGAUGGGUUAGCGUAAGCGAAGCUCAGAAUUGAAGCCCCAGUAAACGGCGGCCGUAACUAUAACGGUCCUAAGGUAGCGAAAUUCCUUGUCGGGUAAGUUCCGACCCGCACGAAAGGCGUAACGAUCUGGGCACUGUCUCAACGAGAGACUCGGUGAAAUUAUAAUACCCGUGAAGAUGCGGGUUACCCGCGACAGGACGGAAAGACCCCAUGGAGCUUUACUGUAGCUUGAUAUUGGGUGUUUGUACAACUUGUACAGGAUAGGUAGGAGCCGUAGAAGUCGGAACGCUAGUUUCGAUCGAGGCGCUGGUGGGAUACUACCCUCGUUGUAUGAACACUCUAACCCUCGUCGCUUAUCGCGGCGGGAGACAGUGUCAGGUGGGCAGUUUGACUGGGGCGGUCGCCUCCUAAAAGGUAACGGAGGCGCCCAAAGGUUCCCUCAGAAUGGUUGGAAAUCAUUCGCAGAGUGUAAAGGCAUAAGGGAGCUUGACUGCGAGACCUACAAGUCGAGCAGGGACGAAAGUCGGGCUUAGUGAUCCGGUGGUUCCGCAUGGAAGGGCCAUCGCUCAACGGAUAAAAGCUACCCUGGGGAUAACAGGCUUAUCUCCCCCAAGAGUCCACAUCGACGGGGAGGUUUGGCACCUCGAUGUCGGCUCAUCGCAUCCUGGGGCUG
Molecule: ribosomal RNA, 2533 nt
Filed under: mouse gut metagenome
Description: bacterial LSU rRNA
Rfam family: Bacterial large subunit ribosomal RNA
Source: RNAcentral